RNAcentral lists this ribosomal RNA (497 nucleotides) under uncultured bacterium. RNAcentral's name for it is "partial 16S ribosomal RNA". It matches the Rfam family "Bacterial small subunit ribosomal RNA", at positions 28 to 507 of the family's 1533-position model. The record is from RNAcentral.
GAUGAACGCUGGCGGCGUGCCUAAUACAUGCAAGUCGAGCGAACAGACGAGGAGCUUGCUCCUCUGACGUUAGCGGCGGACGGGUGAGUAACACGUGGAUAACCUACCUAUAAGACUGGGAUAACUUCGGGAAACCGGAGCUAAUACCGGAUAAUAUAUUGAACCGCAUGGUUCAAUGGUGAAAGACGGUUUUGCUGUCACUUAUAGAUGGAUCCGCGCCGCAUUAGCUAGUUGGUAAGGUAACGGCUUACCAAGGCAACGAUGCGUAGCCGACCUGAGAGGGUGAUCGGCCACACUGGAACUGAGACACGGUCCAGACUCCUACGGGAGGCAGCAGUAGGGAAUCUUCCGCAAUGGGCGAUAGCCUGACGGAGCAACGCCGCGUGAGUGAUGAAGGUCUUCGGAUCGUAAAACUCUGUUAUUAGGGAAGAACAAAUGUGUAAGUAACUAUGCACGUCUUGACGGUACCUAAUCAGAAAGCCACGGCUAACUACGUG